UUGCUUAAGAUUUGCUCAAGAUCCAUAAUUCUCAGAAAUCCACUGAUCCUAUACUAAAUAUAGGAGGGGUAGAAUGAUGCGAACGGUCAUUCGAAAACAUUUGAUCUUGAGCAGAUCUUGAGCAAGUCUUGCAUAAGUAUAUUCAGCAUGCUUCUGGUGUCAGUCU
Cotesia glomerata is the source of this 166-nucleotide long non-coding RNA. RefSeq lists it as uncharacterized. NCBI's taxonomy places the organism in Eukaryota, Metazoa, Arthropoda, Insecta, Hymenoptera, Braconidae. The record is from RefSeq and is a predicted model, not a curated record. The transcript is spliced from 3 exons.